CCUACGGGUGGCAGCAGUGGGGAAUAUUGGACAAUGGGGGGAACCCUGAUCCAGCCAUGCCGCGUGUGUGAAGAAGGCCCUCGGGUUGUAAAGCACUUUCAGUGAGGAAGAACGCCUGGUGGUUAAUACCCAUCAGGAAAGACGUCACUCACAGAAGAAGCACCGGCUAACUCCGUGCCAGCAGCCGCGGUAAUACGGAGGGUGCGAGCGUUAAUCGGAAUUACUGGGCGUAAAGCGCGCGUAGGUGGCUUGAUAAGCCGGUUGUGAAAGCCCCGGGCUCAACCUGGGAACGGCAUCCGGAACUGUCAAGCUAGAGUGCAGGAGAGGAAGGUAGAAUUCCCGGUGUAGCGGUGAAAUGCGUAGAGAUCGGGAGGAAUACCAGUGGCGAAGGCGGCCUUCUGGACUGACACUGACACUGAGGUGCGAAAGCGUGGGUAGCAAACAGGAUUAGAUACCCUUGUAGUC
Molecule: ribosomal RNA, 465 nt
Filed under: Vreelandella stevensii
Lineage: Bacteria; Pseudomonadati; Pseudomonadota; Gammaproteobacteria; Oceanospirillales; Halomonadaceae
Description: partial 16S ribosomal RNA
Rfam family: Bacterial small subunit ribosomal RNA
Source: RNAcentral